AUGAAAAUGCCAGACCCACCAGAGUAUGUGUUGUAUACAGAUUCAGAACUGGACAUGGUGCGCAGUCAGUACUUUGCAUUGCUUCACAGUGGAAAGGAAAAGGACUGUAAGAUGUCGAAGGAGCUCUGUUGCAGACUUAUAAGGAACACAGUCACCAGCAUGGUUGCAAUCCUCCGUGCUAGUCCCAUGGGGAAAGAAGUAGGAUACCCCUCCAAACUUGAAAUGAGAGCAAUGUCACAGAAGAUUGUCGACUAUUACCCUAUGUUAUGUGAUGCUGACACACACAUGCCAUAUGUGACCAUCUACACCAAACUGUACAAACGACUCCAAAAUAUGAAGUCUCCAAGGAGGAAACAGGGUUCCAUGCUGCAGCGAGGCAGGCCCAGGAAGAUUAUUUUCAGCUCAGACAACUUAGACAAUGGAACUGAAGGUGACUUAAGUGGCGAAGCAAGUGGUUCAAGUGACUAUACCAUACUUGACCUCAGCAAGGACAACUCAAAUGCAGAGAAGGCAUCAAAAUUCCAUCUACACUCUACUGUACCAACACAGUCAAACAAUAAUACCCUGGCUUCACCACUAUUAUCUAAGUCAGCCUCAUGCUCUGCACCCAGGGCUGCCAUAGGUCCACCAACUCCAGAUGACGAUGUUGCAGACCAUGACAGCCUGAAGAUGCAGCCAAGACAUUACAAAACCUUGAGCAACAUGUACAGGAAACCAAAUGCAAAACCCAACCAAAGUGACGUUGCUCAAAUUUUGGACCUGGAGUUUGAGGCCAGACAAGCUUUUAUUGAUGCAGAUGUUACAAGGGAAGAAGACAGGCCCACAAAAAUAUUUGAAGCAUACCUGUGCUUCAAAGAUAUUCGAAAUGCAAUGGAUGAACUGUGUCGCAUCGUUGGUGGUUCCAACUGCAAAUGCAUAGAUCAAAUGAAGGGUAGAUGGACAGAGUUUUGUUCGAAAGUGCAGUUCUAUGGCAUUUGGAAGAAGGUCCUGAAACCUCCUCUCCCCUUGGAUGUACGUGGAGGUAAGUGGCCUUUUCAUACAUUAAAUCCAUACAUCAGAUAUGUUCAGAUUACUUUAUUAAGAUACUUUUCUCUGUCCACAGUGGAGUUUACUGUCACUCUCUUCAAUGCACUUCCAUCUCUUUUUCCUUCACCAACUACACCACCAAAGCGGCUGGGAAGUGCCAGUGAGGCUCUCCUUCAUAUCCUCCAGCCGGGUGAAGAUGCUAUGCUAUACCUGGAGAAGCGGCCUCUCUCCUCCCCAGUGCUGCUUUUUGAUGGGACAACCAGCAUUGUUGCUGUAGGAAACAUACCAGUGACCACUCUGCCCUUGGAGGAUUUCUGGGAAGGAAUGUUGGUGUUGAUGGCAUAUUACUACACCUUGCACUUAACAUACCCGAAAUGUGUUGCAACGGUCCUCUCUGUCGUACAAACUGAGGUAAUCACUGAUGCCAUCCAUGAUCAAGAUGCCACUUGUGCAUAUAAGAAAGCAAUAGCUAAGUGGAAGUCAUUCUUUGAAAAAUAGGUGAAUACCAAGCAGAAUUUUAUCAGGUCAUUUGCAGUUUGUUUAGCUUUGUAGUGCGUUUGUACAACUUUGUUCCUAAUUUGCCUAGCAAUGUCCUGAGAAACUGCUUUACUUAUGCCUUACAAAUGAAAGUUGUUGUUUUUUUUUCUCUUAAUGACACUCUGAGGCAUAUAAAGUUUUAAAUUAGUAAUGCCGUUAUUUACAACAUUGUGAGAUUAUGUGACUGUCACAAAAGUUUAGGGCCAAAAAUGUAAUUUCUUUUCUCUGUUUAGGCCUUCUAAAGGGUUGAUUUAGAUUUUAGAGAUUGUGCAGCAGCCCUAUAUUGUUUACAAAAAGGGUUUUGUUCUCAUGAGAGGAAUAAAUGUUGACAUAUAUCACUCUUGUCCUGGCUGUGAUUUCAGUAGAAGCCAAGGAAUAUUCUAGGAAAAAGGUCUGUUUUAAGGUUUUUGUGCUUGGAUUUAAUAUGGAUUAGGCUCUAUUUUAAGAUAAGCCAACCUGAAUCAAGAAACAAAUUAAUCAUACUUCACUAAUACUGAGUAGAUUUUCAUAGUAUUAGAACUAUUUUUCUCGUUGCAUUGCAUUCAUUUGCUGCAAGUAAGAAUUCAAAACAUAAAAAAGACUGUAAUUUAGCAUAUUUAACUUACUUUUGGGACUUGAUACGAAGUAAUUUUAUCUAAAAUUGAGUUUUUUAAAGCUUAUUUUAACCCUCUACAAUUCUCAAAUGUGUUCUUUUAUUUCUGGAUUAAAAAAUCUUAUUUCAAGAUUUCUUAAUAAGUAAAAUUAACUUGCUGCAUGGACAGAUAAUUUCACUUGUUUUCAGUGCUUUUUGUAUCAAAUGUAGUAUUUGUUUCCUAAAUGUAGACUACCCAUUUUUGCAGUGCACAGGGCGCGCCGCACAUUUUGAAGAAAAUCUAAGACUUUUAUGUGCGCUUUAUAGUCGUGAA
Molecule: long non-coding RNA, 2468 nt
Organism: Oreochromis niloticus (Nile tilapia)
Lineage: Eukaryota; Metazoa; Chordata; Actinopteri; Cichliformes; Cichlidae
Source: Ensembl